RNA transcript from Ricinus communis (castor bean), 4013 nucleotides. It is a transcript of the gene named casein kinase 1-like protein HD16, with no coding region annotated. The transcript is spliced from 18 exons. Lineage: Eukaryota; Viridiplantae; Streptophyta; Magnoliopsida; Malpighiales; Euphorbiaceae. The record is from RefSeq and is a predicted model, not a curated record.
AUAAGAGAGAGACAGAAAAAAGAAAAAAAUCAGGAAGCAACAAAAGCUCUAUUUCUCUCUCUCUGAGUACUAAAUAGAAGAGAAGAGAAGAGAAGAGAAUCCUUUUCUUUCCAUUUACGUCCACAGAUCUCCAUAUUCCUACACACCAAACCCUAGUUUUCUCUCUCUACAGCUAUCUAUUCCUUUCUUUAUCUCUCUGAAUUUUUAAAAGCCUUUCGAUCGAAUUUUUUAAUAUAUAAGAAUAUAUAUUUUUUUAAAAUUUGUAUUUGAUGAUUCUAGAAGAACCUCAAUGAAUCUAUCCACCUUCAUGGACCGCCACCGCCACCGCCGCCGCCGCCGUCCAUCUUACGAUGCCUGAGCUGCGCCAGAGAAGAAAUCGGACGCUUAAGAAACCUAGCCUGAACCCGAAUCAGAAUCCGAUUAAGCGCACUGUACAGACUCGACAACAAAGAAAAGAGAAAUCGGUCGCUGUUGAUGAUAAAAACAAAAUUAACAAUAAUAUUCUGAAACUUGAUACAACGACACCGUUUAAGGAUUUUAAAGAGGAGGUUGCAGAGAAGUCCAUGGAUGAGUACGAUAGCGGCGGUCGCAGCGGCGAUAAAGGCGCCGGCGCUGAAGAUGAAGGAAGUACCGCUCCACUUCCUGAGAAGGUUCAAGUUGGGGGCUCCCCGUUAUACAAAAUAGACAGAAAACUGGGUAAAGGAGGUUUUGGACAAGUAUAUGUUGGCCGCCGCAUUAGUCCCACAGCUUCUGGAGCUGCUUUGGUAGCACUGAAAUUUGAGCACAGAAGUAGCAAAGGAUGCAAUUAUGGACCACCCUAUGAGUGGCAAGUUUACAAUGCACUUGGAGGAAGCCAUGGUGUACCACGAGUUCAUUACAAAGGCCGACAAGGUGACUACUAUGUCAUGGUAAUGGAUAUGCUUGGACCUAGUUUAUGGGAUGUUUGGAAUAACAAUUCCCACACGAUGUCCAUUGAAAUGGUUGCUUGCAUUGCCAUUGAAGCAAUAUCUAUACUUGAGAAGAUGCACUCGAAAGGAUAUGUACAUGGGGAUGUAAAACCUGAAAAUUUUUUGCUUGGCCCCCCUGGAACUCCAGAAGAAAAAAAGCUGUUUCUUGUUGAUCUUGGAUUAGCAACCAGAUGGCGAGAUAGUUCAACUGGCCUGCACGUGGAAUAUGAUCAACGUCCAGAUGUUUUUAGGGGAACAGUGCGGUAUGCCAGUGUUCAUGCUCAUCUUGGUAGAACUGGUAGCAGGAGAGAUGACUUAGAGUCUCUUGCCUACACACUCAUUUUUCUUCUCCGUGGUCGACUGCCCUGGCAAGGAUAUCAGGGGGAAAAUAAAGGAUUCCUAGUUUGUAAGAAGAAGAUGGCCACUUCCCCAGAAACUUUGUGUUGCUUCUGUCCUCAACCUUUCCGACAGUUUGUUGAGUACGUGGUAAAUUUGAAGUUCGACGAGGAACCGAAUUAUGCAAAAUAUAUAUCUCUUUUUGACGGGAUUGUAGGUCCAAAUCCAGAUAUUCGGCCAAUAAACACUGAUGGGGCUCAGAAGCUCAUAUAUCAGGUUGGACAUAAGAGGGGACGAUUGACAAUGGAGGAGGAAGAAGAUGAACAACCAAAGAAAAAGGUACGGAUGGGAAUGCCUGCAACUCAAUGGAUCAGUGUUUACAAUGCUCGUCGUCCAAUGAAGCAGAGAUAUCACUACAAUGUGGCUGAUAUGAGGCUCUCACAACACAUAGAGAAAGGAAACGAAGAUGGGUUAUUUAUCAGCAGUGUGGCUUCUUGCUCAAACUUAUGGGCCUUAAUUAUGGAUGCGGGAACUGGCUUCACUGCUCAAGUGUAUGAGCUUUCACCUUACUUCCUGCACAAGGAAUGGAUAAUGGAACAGUGGGAGAAGAAUUUCUACAUCAGUGCUAUAGCUGGAGCUAAUAAUGGGAGCUCAUUAGUUGUGAUGUCUAAAGGAACCCAGUAUCUACAGCAGUCCUAUAAAGUUAGUGACUCAUUCCCUUUCAAGUGGAUUAAUAAGAAAUGGAGAGAGGGUUUUUAUGUCACUGCUAUGGCCACUGCUGGAAGUAGAUGGGCAAUUGUUAUGUCUCGUGGGGCUGGAUUUUCUGACCAGGUUGUGGAGCUUGAUUUCUUAUAUCCUAGUGAAGGAAUUCAUAGAAGGUGGGAUAGUGGUUACCGCAUUACUUCAACUGCUGCAACUUGGGAUCAGGCUGCUUUUGUUCUUAGCGUGCCCCGAAGAAAACCGGCAGAUGAAACCCAAGAGACACUUCGAACUUCUGCUUUUCCUAGCACACAUGUCAAGGAGAAAUGGGCAAAGAAUCUUUACAUUGCAUCUGUUUGCUAUGGUCGAACUGUCUCAUGAACAGCUGAAAUUUUGGACGGCCUUGGUGCUAUCAUGACCAUGCCUGUGUACUGCUUAGAAGAGAAUUCUCUCCACUUAUGGCCCUUCUCUGAGAGUCAAGCAUCUGCACAAGUCAAAUUGAUGCAUCACGGCAUUUUGGAGUCUAUGAUAUAGUGUUAUGCCUACUGAUUAAUCACAUAGUUAUUAUGUUUGAAUGGUGGGAGCAUACGACUAUUUGCUGGUGGCAUAAUCGGCUGCUAUGAUGAUUAUGAGAUUAUUCUAAAUUGUCCCCUUAGCUUAAUCCAUUCAUCAUUAGUCAGUGUUGCCACAUUGUUUUCGAGAACUCAUUCUGCUUUUGGAUGCAUAUCGCUCGAUAAGAUGAGCAUAUUAGAAGUUGGUGUAUGACAGAGAUCCACUGUUAAAUUGUUAGUAUUUGUGAUCAAGAUUGAGGCUGAAAUUUUGUUGGCAUGCCUCUUUGGUCGACAACUUUGUCAAUACCAAGGAACCAAGGACCGUUUCACAUUCAGCCUGUGUUUCUAGUUUCUAGAGCAUUUAACCGGUAACGUUGCUAAUUUUUCUUUGUUGGCUUGGUAUUUGUACUUGGCCUGCUUGGUAUUAAUUUUGGAUCUGAUAUGCAAUUUAAUUGCUUAACUGUCGAGUUAUAUGUGUUGAAACUGCGUGCUUGGUUUAGUGAGUAGUCUUCAUACUGAUGGUAUCACAUUCUUUAUCUUUCAUUCUGUUGGGAAGAUCUGAUGGCAUGAUGGCCACUGGUUUUGGUUUCUGUGCAGUCAUGAAGGUCCCAAUUAGCUGUAAUAUGAGCCAUUCAACGAGCCUUAAAAAUAAUAUGAGCAUUUGUGGGUUUGGAGCAAUGAUUGCACAAACUGAGACAUCCACUUUCUUAAGAUUAGCACUUUGGUCAUUGAAAAGGCUGGUGCAUUUGACGUCACAAAGCUCAUACUGUAAUGCUCAUACUACAACUGCUUGGGAGCUUUGUAGCUUUGCAGAAACCAUAACUAAUCACCAUUAGUUUUUUAAUUUUUAAUUUUAAUUUUUUUUUAAAGACCUUAAGCAAUUAAGGAGUUCUGGUAUAAAAAUGGUUUAUCAGGUGAGCCAUGGACUGAUAUUAUGAGUGAGCCAUCUUGUUAAAUGCUUUCCUGAGUGGCUAGUGUGGUUCUCUUAACAGUAUUUUACCUUUAUUUGCUUGCUUACGCCACUGGAGUAUGUAUUAUUGUCAUGCUGUAGAGACAGAAUAGAGGUGGAUGUGGGGUGUGGUCUCAGUUUUGGUCUGCAAAGAUGUGGACUUCAUUAAGCUUGCAGCUAUUGCUCACAUGCUCAGGUUCGUCAGGCCUUGGGGUUAUGUAUCAAUACAGGUGCAAGCCUAGCUUUGCUGAGUAAAAGUAAUGGUACUUGCAGAAAUGAAGGGGCUGAGAUGGAUCUCUAGUCGGUUCACUCAAAAAGCAGCAAUAAAUUUUUUAAAGUUGGUCUGGUUUUAUUAGCAGUUAUCUAGUUUCAAAAUUUGUAAAGUUGGCCUAUGUGAGCACUAACUAUCCUGUAAUCUGUCAUUUCACAGGGUUUCUCCCUCCCCCACCCCCUUAUCAUUUGGCUCAUUUUGGCCAAAUGGCUUCUGGUUCUACUUAUCAAAUAAAUCGAACUCAGAAAUUUGAAUUUAAA